This 483-nucleotide ribosomal RNA is filed under the name uncultured bacterium. Its description in RNAcentral is "partial 16S ribosomal RNA". It matches the Rfam family "Bacterial small subunit ribosomal RNA", at positions 28 to 523 of the family's 1533-position model. The record is from RNAcentral.
GACGAACGCUGGCGGCGUGCUUUACACAUGCAAGUCGAACGGUGAAGGUGGAGCUUGCUCCGCCGGAUCAGUGGCGAACGGGUGAGUAACACGUGGGCAACCUGCCCCUAACUUUGGGAUAACUACUCGAAAGAGUAGCUAAUACCGGAUAUGAAGUCUGUAGGCAUCUAUGGAUUUGGAAAGUUUUUCGGUUAGGGAUGGGCCCGCGGCCUAUCAGCUUGUUGGUGAGGUAGUGGCUCACCAAGGCGACGACGGGUAGCCGGCCUGAGAGGGCGACCGGCCACACUGGGGCUGAGACACGGCCCAGACUCCUACGGGAGGCAGCGGUGGGGAAUAUUGCGCAAUGGGUGAAAGCCUGACGCAGCAACGCCGCGUGCGGGAUGAAGGCCUUCGGGUUGUAAACCGCUUUCAGCAGGGAAGAAGCGAAAGUGACGGUACCUGCAGAAGAAGCACCGGCUAACUACGUGCCAGCCGCCGCAGUAA